RNAcentral lists this ribosomal RNA (450 nucleotides) under uncultured bacterium. RNAcentral's name for it is "partial 16S ribosomal RNA". It matches the Rfam family "Bacterial small subunit ribosomal RNA", at positions 354 to 796 of the family's 1533-position model. The record is from RNAcentral.
GUGGGGAAUAUUGGACAAUGGGCGAAAGCCUGAUCCAGCCAUGCCGCGUGUGUGAAGAAGGUCUUCGGAUUGUAAAGCACUUUAAGUUGGGAGGAAGGGUAGUAACCUAAUACGUUGCUACUUUGACGUUACCGACAGAAUAAGCACCGGCUAACUUCGUGCCAGCAGCCGCGGUAAUACGAAGGGUGCAAGCGUUAAUCGGAAUUACUGGGCGUAAAGCGCGCGUAGGUGGUUCAGUAAGUUGGAAGUGAAAUCCCCGGGCUCAACCUGGGAACUGCUUUCAAAACUGCUGAGCUAGAGUACGGUAGAGGGUGGUGGAAUUUCCUGUGUAGCGGUGAAAUGCGUAGAUAUAGGAAGGAACACCAGUGGCGAAGGCGACCACCUGGACUGAUACUGACACUGAGGUGCGAAAGCGUGGGGAGCAAACAUGAUUAGAUACCCUAGUAGUCC